AGCCGUAGGGGAACCUGCGGCUGGAUCACCUCCUUAAUCGACGACUCAGCUGCACCAUAAGCACCCACACGAAUUGCUUGAUUCAUUGAAGAAGACGAUUAGAAGCAGCUUUAAGCUCCAAGCUGAUAGCUCAACGCUAGCGGCUACAAGCUCGAAAUUGGGUCUGUAGCUCAGUUGGUUAGAGCGCACCCCUGAUAAGGGUGAGGUCGGCAGUUCGAAUCUGCCCAGACCCACCAAUUUUGUGUGGGAAACGCCUGUAGAAAUACGGGGCCAUAGCUCAGCUGGGAGAGCGCCUGCCUUGCACGCAGGAGGUCAGCGGUUCGAUCCCGCUUGGCUCCACCACUUACUGCUUCUGUUUGAAAGCUUAGAAAUGAGCAUUCCAUUGAUCUUGAUGAUCAGUGCCUGAAUGUUGAUUUCUAGUCUUUGAUUAGAUCGUUCUUUAAAAAUUUGGGUAUGUGAUAGAAAGAAAUAUAGACCGGGCACCUCUUUCACUGGUGUGUGUCCGGGCUAAGGUAAAGUUUGUGAAAUGCAAACUUUCGGCGAAUGUCGUCUUCACAGUAUAACCAGAUUGCUUGGGGUUAUAU
This 584-nucleotide transfer RNA is filed under the name Pseudomonas syringae pv. syringae. RNAcentral's name for it is "partial 16S-23S ribosomal RNA intergenic spacer". The stretch from base 160 to 233 matches the Rfam family "tRNA". The record is from RNAcentral. Lineage: Bacteria; Pseudomonadati; Pseudomonadota; Gammaproteobacteria; Pseudomonadales; Pseudomonadaceae.